GACGAACGCUGGCGGCGUGCUUAACACAUGCAAGUCGAACGGAAAGGCCCUGCUUUUGUGGGGUGCUCGAGUGGCGAACGGGUGAGUAACACGUGAGUAACCUGCCCUUGACUUUGGGAUAACUUCAGGAAACUGGGGCUAAUACCGGAUAGGAGCUCCUGCUGCAUGGUGGGGGUUGGAAAGUUUCGGCGGUUGGGGAUGGACUUGCGGCUUAUCAGCUUGUUGGUGGGGUAGUGGCUUACCAAGGCUUUGACGGGUAGCCGGCCUGAGAGGGUGACCGGCCACAUUGGGACUGAGAUACGGCCCAGACUCCUAUGGGAGGCAGCAGUGGGGAAUAUUGCACAAUGGGCGGAAGCCUGAUGCAGCAACGCCGCGUGCGGGAUGACGGCCUUCGGGUUGUAAACCGCUUUCGCCUGUGACGAAGCGUGAGUGACGGUAAUGGGUAAAGAAGCACCGGCUAACUACGUG
RNAcentral lists this ribosomal RNA (468 nucleotides) under uncultured bacterium. RNAcentral describes it as "partial 16S ribosomal RNA". It matches the Rfam family "Bacterial small subunit ribosomal RNA", at positions 28 to 507 of the family's 1533-position model. The record is from RNAcentral.